RNAcentral lists this ribosomal RNA (559 nucleotides) under uncultured bacterium. RNAcentral's name for it is "partial 16S ribosomal RNA". The record is from RNAcentral.
GGAGUUAGCCGGUGCUUCUUCUGUGAGUGAUGUCCUUCCUGCCGGUUAUUGACCCGCAGGCCUUCUUCCUCACUGAAAGUGCUUUACAACCCGAAGGCCUUCUUCACACACGCGGCAUGGCUGGAUCAGGGUUGCCCCCAUUGUCCAAUAUUCCCCACUGCUGCCUCCCGUAGGAGUCUGGGCCGUGUCUCAGUCCCAGUGUGGCUGAUCAUCCUCUCAGACCAGCUACGGAUCGUCGCCUUGGUGAGCCGUUACCUCACCAACCAGCUAAUCCGACAUAGGCUCAUCCGAUAGCGCGAGGCCCGAAGGUCCCCCGCUUUCCCCCGUAGGGCGUAUGCGGUAUUAGCCUGGGUUUCCCCAGGUUAUCCCCCACUACCGGGCAGAUUCCUAUGCAUUACUCACCCGUCCGCCGCUCGCCACCAGGGAGCAAGCUCCCCGUGCUGCCGCUCGACUUGCAUGUGUUAGGCCUGCCGCCAGCGUUCAAUCUGAGCCAUAGACUAACUAACCUUCGUACGUACGUAGGACGGGCGGGUCGGUCGGACGGAACGGGCCGACUAAG